RNAcentral lists this ribosomal RNA (492 nucleotides) under uncultured bacterium. RNAcentral describes it as "partial 16S ribosomal RNA". It matches the Rfam family "Bacterial small subunit ribosomal RNA", at positions 29 to 507 of the family's 1533-position model. The record is from RNAcentral.
AGUGAACGCUGGCGGUAGGCCUAACACAUGCAAGUCGAACGGCAGCACAGUAAGAGCUUGCUCUUACGGGUGGCGAGUGGCGGACGGGUGAGGAAUACAUCGGAAUCUACUUUUUCGUGGGGGAUAACGUAGGGAAACUUACGCUAAUACCGCAUACGACCUACGGGUGAAAGCAGGGGAUCUUCGGACCUUGCGCGAUUGAAUGAGCCGAUGUCGGAUUAGCUAGUUGGCGGGGUAAAGGCCCACCAAGGCGACGAUCCGUAGCUGGUCUGAGAGGAUGAUCAGCCACACUGGAACUGAGACACGGUCCAGACUCCUACGGGAGGCAGCAGUGGGGAAUUUUGGGCAAUGGGCGGAAGCCUGAUCCAGCCAUGCCGCGUGGGUGAAGAAGGCCUUCGGGUUUUAAAACCCUUUUGUUGGGGAAGAAAAACAGCAGGUUAAAACCCCCCCGUUCUGACGGUACCCAAAGAAAAAGCAACGGCUAACUUCGUG